This 551-nucleotide long non-coding RNA is filed under the name Sus scrofa (pig). RNAcentral describes it as "lncRNA (ENSSSCG00035072542.1)". The record is from RNAcentral. Lineage: Eukaryota; Metazoa; Chordata; Mammalia; Artiodactyla; Suidae.
AUGUUCCGUAGAUGGCACGGCCCCCUCGCUCCAUCCUUGAGCCGAAUGGAGAGGGCAUUCAUGACCAACCUGAAAUCAUGCGGGAAACCUGCAUCAAGGCUGGGCCAGUUCAGAGGACUAGGAAAGCUGUCUUCUGCUAAUGAAGUGCACUUGUGUGAGGUUUUGAAGGUAGAAGAGAAAUGGAAUAUAUUCUUCUUCCCUGUGCAUCGAGGUUGGACAUGGAAGCUGUGAACUGAAGUUUGGCACUUGCCAUCAGCCUCUACAUGGAGUAAAACAGUCCCUGCAGCUGCCGACCCACAAGCCCCCUGAGCGGACCUCAGGGUGGAGGCCAGAGGGAGGCCCUCUGUGCUCUGGGGAUACUGGAAGAACAGGUCUUCAGAUGGUUAGACAUUUUUAGGAGAAGAUUUUAUGAGCCUGAUUCUUGCAUCUCCUCAUAUCUAGAAAAACACUAAAAUUCUUCAGUGAUGACUGAUGUUGGUGACUAGUAGUAACCCUCACGAGACCAGCAGCAAACUUCGACAAAACGUAUGCCUGGCUGCAUGCACCUCCCC